UACGAAGGGGGCUAGCGUUGCUCGGAAUCACUGGGCGUAAAGGGCGCGUAGGCGGGCUUUUAAGUCAGGGGUGAAAUCCUGGAGCUCAACUCCAGAACUGCCUUUGAUACUGAAGAUCUUGAGUCCGGGAGAGGUGAGUGGAACUGCGAGUGUAGAGGUGAAAUUCGUAGAUAUUCGCAAGAACACCAGUGGCGAAGGCGGCUCACUGGCCCGGUACUGACGCUGAGGCGCGAAAGCGUGGGGAGCAAACAGG
Molecule: ribosomal RNA, 253 nt
Filed under: uncultured bacterium
Lineage: Bacteria
Description: partial 16S ribosomal RNA
Rfam family: Bacterial small subunit ribosomal RNA
Source: RNAcentral